This 478-nucleotide ribosomal RNA is filed under the name uncultured bacterium. RNAcentral's name for it is "partial 16S ribosomal RNA". It matches the Rfam family "Bacterial small subunit ribosomal RNA", at positions 28 to 523 of the family's 1533-position model. The record is from RNAcentral.
GACGAACGCUGGCGGCGUGCUUAACACAUGCAAGUCGAACGGUAAGGCCCUUCGGGGUACACGAGUGGUGAACGGGUGAGUAACACGUGGGUGAUCUGCCCUGCACUUCGGGAUAAGCCUGGGAAACUGGGUCUAAUACCGGAUAGGACCCUGGGAUGCAUGUCCUGGGGUGGAAAGCUUUUGCGGUGUGGGAUGGGCCCGCGGCCUAUCAGCUUGUUGGUGGGGUGAUGGCCUACCAAGGCGACGACGGGUAGCCGGCCUGAGAGGGUGACCGGCCACACUGGGCCUGAGAUACGGCCCAGGCUCCUACGGGAGGCAGCAGUGGGGAAUAUUGCACAAUGGGCGCGAGCCUGAUGCAGCGACGCCGCGUGAGGGAUGACGGCCUUCGGGUUGUAAACCUCUUUUAGCACCGACGAAGCGCAAGUGACGGUAGGUGCAGAAGAAGGACCGGCCAACUACGUGCCAGCAGCCGCAGUAA